Molecule: transfer RNA, 75 nt
Filed under: Streptomyces phage FlowerPower
Lineage: Duplodnaviria; Heunggongvirae; Uroviricota; Caudoviricetes
Also listed under: 5 other names
Description: tRNA-Thr
Rfam family: tRNA
About the family: Transfer RNA (tRNA) molecules are approximately 80 nucleotides in length.
Source: RNAcentral
GCCUUGAUAGCUCACCUGGUGAGAGCGCCUGCCUAGUAAGCAGGGGGGACGGGUUCGAGUCCUGUACAAGGCUCC